This 962-nucleotide ribosomal RNA is filed under the name Antealophiotrema populicola. RNAcentral's name for it is "partial large subunit ribosomal RNA". It matches the Rfam family "Eukaryotic large subunit ribosomal RNA", at positions 1 to 980 of the family's 3401-position model. The record is from RNAcentral. Lineage: Eukaryota; Fungi; Ascomycota; Dothideomycetes; Pleosporales.
UUGACCUCGGAUCAGGUAGGGAUACCCGCUGAACUUAAGCAUAUCAAUAAGCGGAGGAAAAGAAACCAACAGGGAUUGCCCUAGUAACGGCGAGUGAAGCGGCAAGAGCUCAAAUUUGAAAUCUGGCCUCCUUGGGGCCCGAGUUGUAAUUUGUAGAGGGUGCUUUGGCGUUGGCCGUGGCCUAAGUUCCUUGGAACAGGACGUCACAGAGGGUGAGAACCCCGUACGUGGCCGCCGGUCUUCGCCGUGUAAAGCCCCUUCGACGAGUCGAGUUGUUUGGGAAUGCAGCUCUAAAUGGGAGGUAAAUUUCUUCUAAAGCUAAAUACUGGCCAGAGACCGAUAGCGCACAAGUAGAGUGAUCGAAAGAUGAAAAGCACUUUGGAAAGAGAGUCAAAAAGCACGUGAAAUUGUUGAAAGGGAAGCGCUUGCAGCCAGACUUGCCCGCAGUUGUUCAUCUGGAUUUAAUCCGGUGCACUCUCCUGUGGGCAGGCCAGCAUCAGUCCGGGCGGUCGGAUAAAGGCCCUAGGAAUGUAUCUCUCUUCGGGGAGUGUUAUAGCCCAGGGUGCCAUGCGACCAGCCGGGACUGAGGUCCGCGCAUCUGCUAGGAUGCUGGCGUAAUGGCUGUAAGCGGCCCGUCUUGAAACACGGACCAAGGAGUCUAACAUCUAUGCGAGUGUUUGGGUGUCAAGCCCGGGCGCGUAAUGAAAGUGAACGGAGGUGGGAACCCCUCGGGGCGCACCAUCGACCGAUCCUGAUGUCUUCGGAUGGAUUUGAGUAAGAGCAUAGCUGUUGGGACCCGAAAGAUGGUGAACUAUGCCUGAAUAGGGUGAAGCCAGAGGAAACUCUGGUGGAGGCUCGCAGCGGUUCUGACGUGCAAAUCGAUCGUCAAAUUUGGGCAUAGGGGCGAAAGACUAAUCGAACUAUCUAGUAGCUGGUUCCUGCCGAAGUUUCCCCUCAGGAAA